CCUACGGGAGGCAGCAGUGGGGAAUAUUGGACAAUGGGCGCAAGCCUGAUCCAGCCAUGCCGCGUGUGUGAAGAAGGCCUUCGGGUUGUAAAGCACUUUUAUCCGGAAAGAAAAGCUUUGGGUUAAUACCCUGAAGUCAUGACGGUACCGGAAGAAUAAGCACCGGCUAACUUCGUGCCAGCAGCCGCGGUAAUACGAAGGGUGCAAGCGUUACUCGGAAUUACUGGGCGUAAAGCGUGCGUAGGUGGUUUGUUAAGUCUGAUGUGAAAGCCCUAGGCUCAACCUGGGAAUUGCAUUGGAUACUGGCAGGCUAGAGUGCGGUAGAGGAUAGUGGAAUUCCCGGUGUAGCAGUGAAAUGCGUAGAGAUCGGGAGGAACAUCUGUGGCGAAGGCGACUAUCUGGGCCAGCACUGACACUGAGGCACGAAAGCGUGGGGAGCAAACAGGAUUAGAUACCCUGGUAGUCCACGCCCUAAACGAUGCGAACUGGAUGUUGGGUGCAACUAGGCACUCAGUAUCGAAGCUAACGCGUUAAGUUCGCCGCCUGGGGAGUACGGUCGCGAAGACUGAAACUCAAAAGAGUAGUUAGGACGUCGUUAGGACGAGUUCGACCGGAGGACCGACGACGGGAGGGUAGGAGG
Molecule: ribosomal RNA, 640 nt
Filed under: uncultured bacterium
Lineage: Bacteria
Description: bacterial SSU rRNA
Rfam family: Bacterial small subunit ribosomal RNA
Source: RNAcentral